UUUCAAUAUUGGUUAUUUAUCAAUUAAUAAUACAAACAAACAAAAUAUAUUAAAUUCUAUAUUUUACUUCCUGUUUUCUUGUCACUUAAAAUUAAUUGUACAUAGGCUCUAUGUUGGGGGUAAGUACAGUAAACCAGAUAUCAGUGAUUUCUUAAUUUGAUUUGAAUUUAACAGUGUGUGGGGUAUCAGUGUAUCAUUUCUUUAAAUAUGUCCAAUAUAUCACCAAUUAUUACAUUUAAAAAAUUAUACCACAUUUAU
Non-coding RNA from Cinara cedri, 258 nucleotides. The record is from the annotation of a GenBank genome assembly. NCBI's taxonomy places the organism in Eukaryota, Metazoa, Arthropoda, Insecta, Hemiptera, Aphididae.